Chelonus insularis is the source of this 905-nucleotide long non-coding RNA. RefSeq lists it as uncharacterized. The transcript has 3 exons. The record is from RefSeq and is a predicted model, not a curated record. Lineage: Eukaryota; Metazoa; Arthropoda; Insecta; Hymenoptera; Braconidae.
UAUAAAUUAAGAUACAAAUUCUUAAGAAUAUUUUUAUUUCUUCGAUGACUGUAAAUUUUUCAAUGCAUUGUUUACAAGUUCAUUGAUUGUUCCUAUGGGAAUUGUUAACUGGUUGAUGGGUAUCACAUAAUAAACCCUGGGCUAUUUCAACUGGACUAGAUAUCAAGAACAUGAUAAUGAUAUUUGAUCAGUCUCACAGGUAGACAAGAGUUUAAAUAAAAAUUUUUGCGCUGUUGCUAUUUUUAAAAAUAACACUAAAGUUUUUUUUUCCACAGGAAGGUCAUUAUUAUUCAUCCGGAAAUGGUCAAUUAAUAAUAAAUGUAAAUAACUGUAAGCUUUAAGAUUAUUUUGUUAUUCAGUGACACAUCUGAUAACUAUUAAUGAUAAACUCUCUUGGAGAUCGUGAGCAGUAAGAUGUUACGACUAAUUCAUACGAAUCGGUCGACUGACGACGUUUAUCCCACAAAAGAAACUGGAAUCUUAUCGUCUGGUGUAUUAUAUAUGAUAACAUACGCAACUGAACCAGUGUCGAUGGGUAUGUGCGGUGCUUAUCUUUAAGGUUGACAACGAAUCGUGUAUUUAGAAUCCAAGGCACUAGUGGCUUCAUCAAGAAUUACAACUGCUGAAUCUCGAAGUGUUGCUCGUGCCAUGCUUAACAAUUGCAGCUGGCCUGCAGAGAAGUUUUCCCCACCUUCUCGCACCUCCAGAUCUAAUUGAGUCAUCAAGAGUAAUUAAUCUUAGUUUUUUUAUCGAUUACAAUAAUACGACUGAGGUAUUAACAUUUGAAUUGUAAUAGAAUAUUGUUAAAGAUUGCUUUUAUUGUUUUUUAUAAUAAUUCUGAUUAUAAAUUUUUUUAAUAACAAUAAAAAUGUAAUAAGAAAAGAAGAGAUCUAAUAAUUGGUGAU